GCGGCGGACGGGUGAGUAAUGCAUAGGAAUCUGCCCGAUAGUGGGGGAUAACCUGGGGAAACUCAGGCUAAUACCGCAUACGUCCUACGGGAGAAAGCAGGGGAUCUUCGGACCUUGCGCUAUCGGAUGAGCCUAUGUCGGAUUAGCUAGUUGGUGAGGUAACGGCUCACCAAGGCGACGAUCCGUAGCUGGUCUGAGAGGAUGAUCAGCCACACUGGGACUGAGACACGGCCCAGACUCCUACGGGAGGCAGCAGUGGGGAAUAUUGGACAAUGGGGGAAACCCUGAUCCAGCCAUGCCGCGUGUGUGAAGAAGGCCUUCGGGUUGUAAAGCACUUUCAGCGAGGAAGAAGGCCUGAGGGCUAAUACCCUUCAGGAAGGACAUCACUCGCAGAAGAAGCACCGGCUAACUCCGUGCCAGCAGCCGCGGUAAUACGGAGGGUGCGAGCGUUAAUCGGAAUUACUGGGCGUAAAGCGCGCGUAGGUGGCUUGAUAAGCCGGUUGUGAAAGCCCCGGGCUCAACCUGGGAACGGCAUCCGGAACUGUCAGGCUAGAGUGCAGGAGAGGAAGGUAGAAUUCCCGGUGUAGCGGUGAAAUGCGUAGAGAUCGGGAGGAAUACCAGUGGCGAAGGCGGCCUUCUGGACUGACACUGACACUGAGGUGCGAAAGCGUGGGUAGCAAACAGGAUUAGAUACCCUGGUAGUCCACGCCGUAAACGAUGUCGACUAGCCGUUGGGGUCCU
Molecule: ribosomal RNA, 741 nt
Filed under: Bisbaumannia pacifica
Lineage: Bacteria; Pseudomonadati; Pseudomonadota; Gammaproteobacteria; Oceanospirillales; Halomonadaceae
Description: bacterial SSU rRNA
Rfam family: Bacterial small subunit ribosomal RNA
Source: RNAcentral